This 294-nucleotide ribosomal RNA is filed under the name uncultured Alphaproteobacteria bacterium. RNAcentral describes it as "partial 16S ribosomal RNA". It matches the Rfam family "Bacterial small subunit ribosomal RNA", at positions 9 to 329 of the family's 1533-position model. The record is from RNAcentral. Lineage: Bacteria; Pseudomonadati; Pseudomonadota; Alphaproteobacteria.
GAGUUUGAUCGUGGCUCAGAACGAACGCUGGCGGCAGGCCUAACACAUGCAAGUCGAACGCCCGUAGCAAUACGGGAGUGGCAGACGGGUGAGUAACACGUGGGAACGUACCCUUUGGUUCGGAACAACUCCGGGAAACUGGAGCUAAUACCGGAUAAGCCCUACGGGGGAAAGAUUUAUCGCCGAAGGAUCGGCCCGCGUCGGAUUAGCUAGUUGGUGGGGUAAAAGCUCACCAAGGCGACGAUCCGUAGCUGGUCUGAGAGGAUGACCAGCCACACUGGGACUGAGACACGG